Molecule: long non-coding RNA, 529 nt
Organism: Peromyscus leucopus (white-footed mouse)
Lineage: Eukaryota; Metazoa; Chordata; Mammalia; Rodentia; Cricetidae
Exons: 2
Source: RefSeq, a predicted model, not a curated record
CCCUCCCUCCCUCCGCGCCCUGCGCCCGCCACCUCCUCCCGCCCUCUGGCUCCCUCCUUCUUCCCGGGCUCCAAUCGCCACCUUCCACCCGCUCCCCGCCCGCGCCGCCUCCUUUCCCCCUCCUCUCCUCCCACUGUCCUUCCCGCGAACGGCUCAGCUCGGGGAGGCAGGCUCCAGCCGAGACUCGCAGACGGACGGAGCUGGCAGCCGGAGCCCGGGAGGGCCUGGCAGCCAGAUCCCCGGGGAAGUCUCGGACCGAGAGGCUGCAGAGGGAGAGGGACGCGGGCGCAGAGAGCCGCGUGAGCCGCACAGACUCCUAAAAGAAGGUGGACACAGAUCCUAAAAGAAGGGACUCAGGGCUGAGGACCCACAGAAGGUUCAAGACUCCCACCCCUGGACGGCUUCAGUCAUCGCCCCGGUGUUCUUGGGUUUUCCCAAUGCAAGUUCUUCUGAUGGCGUAAUCCCAUUCCCUUCUUUUAAAGGCUGAUGUUGGAUAGGAACGUCUGGAAUUAAACUAAUGGGCCGUGGU